UUUGUUUUAAUUGAUAUCUCUUCUUGAGAUUUAAUAGCCAAGGCUUUUAAAAAGGAAAUGUUGCUACCUUAUACAAGAUGAUCCAUAGGCAAUAGUGUUCCCUUCUUCAUCUCUGUAUCAACAUACAUCAAUUUACUUCACGUUCUCCUCCUCCUUCCAAGAUCAAAUAUUCUAAUCUUCCUCCGUCGAUUUCAUGGUUAUAACAUCGAUAUACUAUGAAUCUUAUCAAUCUGAAUAUUACUUUGUAAUGAAAUAAGGUAUCGAGAAGCUUUAAAGAGGCGAUCUUGGCUUGAUCCGUUGUCUACGAUCUUCUACGAGCUCAUACGCGCAAUUAAGGUAUGUUAAGUCUAUCCCUUCUUUCUUUUUGGCAUGAUCCAAGUGAUGCAAACGAAACGAGCAAAAUACGCAACUCUCAUAAAUGACUCUAUUCAUAAAAAUACCAGGGGUGUCUAUAUUCUUGAUUCCACAUGUGAAUUAUUAUUAUAUCCUCUGUUCAUGGGUCUCAGAAAAAUAUGUAUUUGAUAAAGUUUGUCCGAAAGACAUAUUGAUUUUAUAAUAGUCGAGAAAUCUUAUUAAUGUAUUUCUUAUGCAUUUCAUGCAUUUAUACGUGUACAUUGACCCAUGACCAGAAAGCGUUAUAUACGCGCAUAUUAUAUGUAUAUGGGAUAUGGGAAAAGGUUACGACGUUAUAUACGCACCACCACCUGAUCAGCUGGUAUAUGUUGAUGAUUUGCCCACAGUGGCCGAGAUGAUAUGAUGGGAUGCCCUCAGAGGCUUGAUGAUGUUAUGUACGCAUAUACCUAUGCAUGGUAUGACAUUUAUACGUAUAUGCAUGACAUUAUAACUAUGAAAUGAUUCACAGGGUUAUUCAGACUUACAUGUCUUUUACUCCAUGUUUCUCUCAUGUCUAUUAUUUACUGAUUUUCAUUCCUUACAUACUCGGUAUAUUAUUUGUACCGACGUCCCUUUUGCCUGGGGACGCUGCGUUUCAUGCCCGUAGGUCCUGAUAGACAGGUUGCGAGUUCUCCAAGUAGGCUAUCAGCUCAGCGGAAGGUAUUAGUACGCUCCAUUUGCUCCGGAGUUGCUUAUUUGGUCAGUAUGAUUUGAACAUGUAUUAAUUAGUAUGGCGGGGCCCUGUCCCGGCCUUUAUGGUAUUCAUCUACUCUUAGAGGCUUGUAGACAUAUGUCAUGUACGUGAAAGAUUGUACGGCCUUAUCGGCCUAU
This 1224-nucleotide long non-coding RNA is filed under the name Nicotiana tabacum (common tobacco). Its description in RNAcentral is "long non-coding RNA (NTAB_LNC002526)". Lineage: Eukaryota; Viridiplantae; Streptophyta; Magnoliopsida; Solanales; Solanaceae. The record is from RNAcentral.